RNAcentral lists this ribosomal RNA (839 nucleotides) under uncultured bacterium. RNAcentral describes it as "bacterial SSU rRNA". It matches the Rfam family "Bacterial small subunit ribosomal RNA", at positions 28 to 853 of the family's 1533-position model. The record is from RNAcentral.
GACGAACGCUGGCGGCGUGCCUAACACAUGCAAGUCGAACGAGAUUCAGUUUGUAGCAAUACUUACGAAGAUCUAGUGGCGAACGGGUGAGUAGCACGUGAGCAACCUGCCCCGAAGACCGGGACAACACCGGGAAACCGGUGCUAAUACCGGAUACCCCCACCGAGCCGCAUGGCUUGGUGAGGAAAUGGAUUCCGCUUCGGGAGGGGCUCGCGGCCUAUCAGCUUGUUGGUGAGGUAACGGCUCACCAAGGCUUCGACGGGUAGCUGGUCUGAGAGGACGAUCAGCCACACUGGGACUGAGACGCGGUCCAGACUCCUACGGGAGGCAGCAGUGGGGAAUUUUGGACAAUGGGCGCAAGCCUGAUCCAGCAAUGCCGCGUGCAGGAUGAAGGCCUUCGGGUUGUAAACUGCUUUUGUACGGAACGAAACGGUCUACCCUAAUACGGUGGGCUAAUGACGGUACCGUAAGAAUAAGCACCGGCUAACUACGUGCCAGCAGCCGCGGUAAUACGUAGGGUGCGAGCGUUAAUCGGAAUUACUGGGCGUAAAGCGUGCGCAGGCGGUUAUAUAAGACAGAUGUGAAAUCCCCGGGCUCAACCUGGGACCUGCAUUUGUGACUGUAUAGCUAGAGUACGGUAGAGGGGGAUGGAAUUCCGCGUGUAGCAGUGAAAUGCGUAGAUAUGCGGAGGAACACCGAUGGCGAAGGCAAUCCCCUGGACCUGUACUGACGCUCAUGCACGAAAGCGUGGGGAGCAAACAGGAUUAGAUACCCUGGUAGUCCACGCCCUAAACGAUGUCAACUGGUUGUUGGGUCUUCACUGACUCAGUAACGAAGCU